CAUCUCCUGGCCUCCUUCCAUCCUCCUCUGCCCAGACUCCGCCCCUCCCAGACGGUCCUCACUUCUCUUUUCCCUAGACUGCUGCCAGCGGAACGCACAGCCGGCCCGAGCUAGGAACCCAGGUCCAGAGCCUCAACUUCAGGAUGUUGACAACAUUGCUGCCGAUACUGCUGCUGUCUGGCUGGGCCUUUUGUAGCCAAGACGCCUCAGAUGGCCUCCAAAGCCUUCACAUGCUCCAGAUCUCAUACUUCCGCGACCCCUAUCACGUGUGGUACCAGGGCAACGCGUCGCUGGGGGGACACCUAACGCACGUGCUGGAAGGCCCAAGCACCAACACCACGAUCAUCCAGCUGCAGCCCUUGCAGGAGCCCGAGAGCUGGGCGCGCACGCAGAGUGGCCUGCAGUCCUACCUGCUCCAGUUCCACAGCCUCGUGCGCCUGGUGCACCAGGAGCGGACCUUGGCCUUUCCUCUGACCAUCCGCUGCUUCCUGGGCUGUAAGCUGCCUCCCGAGGGCUCUAGAGCCCAUGUCUUCUUCGAAGUGGCUGUGAAUGGGAGCUCCUUUGUGAGUUUCCGGCCGGAGAGAGCCUUGUGGCAGGCAGACACCCAGGUCACCUCCGGAGUGGUCACCUUCGUUCUGCAGCAGCUCAAUGCCUACAACCGCACUCGGUAUGAACUGCGGGAAUUCCUGGAGGACACCUGUGUGCAGUAUGUGCAGAAACAUAUUUCCGCAGAAAACACGAAAGCUUCCUGAGGCCUCACCAGAAGAAGAUGCCGGUGCCAUGCUUCCUGUACAUCCUGCAGAAGUACGAACUCUUGAGCGUGAUAGUGUGUGCCUGUAAUCUCAACUACUCAGGAGGCUGAGGCAGGAGAAUUGCUUGAACCCAGGAGGUGGAGGUUGCAGUGAGCCGAGAUCACACCACUGCACUCCAGCCUGGGUAACAGAACAAGAGUCCGUCUCAAAAAAAAAAAAAAAAAGAAAAGAAAAAAGAAAAAAAGAAAACUCUCAAAUAUUUGGAAAUUGUUAAUAUACUUCUAAAUAACCCAUGGGUCGGAGAGAAAAUCUUAAAGUAAAUCAGAAAAUAUUUGAACUGACUGAACAUCAAAACAAAACAUAUCAAAAUUUAUGGGUUGCAGCUAAAGCAGUGUGUACAGGAACAUUUAUAGCUUUACAUGCCUAUAAUAGAAAAAAGAAAAGCCUCAAAUCAUACUCUAAGCUUCUACCUUAAGAAACUAGAGAAAGAACAAAUUAAACCUAAAUCAAGCAGAAGAAAAAGAAAUUAGAAAAGCAGAAUUCAAUGAAAUUGAAAACAGAAAAAAAUAGAGAACAAUCAAUAAAACCAAAAGCUUUGAAUUCAUAAACUUUUUGACAGACUUACCAAGGAAAAGAAAGAGAGAAGACAUAAAUUACUAAUAUCAGGAAUGAAAGAGGGGAUGUCACUUCAGACCCUCCAGAUAUUAAAAGGAUAAGAGAAUAUUACAAACAACUCUAUGCUCAUAAAUUUGACAACUUAGAUGAAAUGGACCAAUUUCUUGAAAGACACAAAUUACCUAAACUCGGUCCAGAAGAAAUAGAUAAGAGAAAUAGUCCUAAAUGUACUAAAGAAAAUUGAAUUCAUAGUUUAAAACCUUCCAAUGUAGAGAAGAAAACUCCAGGCCCAGAUGAUUUCUUUUCCUUCCUUCCUUCCUUCCUUCCUUUCCUUCCCUUCUUCCU
This is an RNA transcript of Symphalangus syndactylus (siamang), 1712 nucleotides long. It is a transcript of the gene named protein C receptor, with no coding region annotated. The record is from RefSeq and is a predicted model, not a curated record. NCBI's taxonomy places the organism in Eukaryota, Metazoa, Chordata, Mammalia, Primates, Hylobatidae.